Molecule: long non-coding RNA, 719 nt
Organism: Gopherus evgoodei (Goodes thornscrub tortoise)
Lineage: Eukaryota; Metazoa; Chordata; Testudines; Testudinidae
Exons: 6
Source: RefSeq, a predicted model, not a curated record
GCCUGGAGAGUCAAACUGGAAACCUCUUGCUUUGAAGCCUUUUAUCCAUGAUGCAGACCGUAGUCAGUUGCAUUCACUGCAGUUGGUACAGAGCUGGGAGGCAGAGAGGACAGAAUCUGCAUGAAUGUGGUGACUUCAGUAGACCCUAAUAGGAAGUUCAAAUAAUACAGUAUAUGUAUAACAGCAUUUCAGCCAGGGAGGAAGAAGAGAACCUGACUACCGAACCAGAAGGGAAAACUGCUACACACCACCCUGAUUAUUAGGCACAGAGAAGACAUCUUUGCCAUCCUCAUAGUAGGCAGGUUGCCGCCUGCAGCCCUAUCUGACAUCUGCUGCUACAGACCACUGUGGAUGCUGAAUUCUGGAGCUGUCUUCCCUUGCUGCCUCCUCUUUAGCUGUUCUUCUAGAUUUCCUGAACAACUCAGAGAGAUCACCUAAGGACACAGAGCCUCAUAAAUCAAAGGCUUUCAAGCAGACAGGCGCAAGAUGAGGAACUUUUGAUCAGAAACUGGUCAGACAUUCCCAGAGUGGUUGAGAGCCUGUCAAGGUCACUGCCAAGGACAAGAGAGUCAAUUAGUAUGCAGAUCAGAGGCAAGGAGUUCAAAGUGUCAAGAUGGAGAGAGCAUUUUGCUGAUCUGGGUUAUUGUCUGGGGGGCCUCACUUAGAAGAAAGUGUGAAGAUGAGAGAAGAAGGAGGAACAAAGGACAUAGUGAUGCUGG